UUUCCGUAGGUGAACCUGCGGAAGGAUCAUUACCGAGUGAGGGCCCUUUGGGUCCAACCUCCCACCCGUGUUUAUUUACCUUGUUGCUUCGGCGGGCCUGCCUUAACUGGCCGCCGGGGAGCUUACGCCCCGGGGCCCGCGCCCGCCGAAGACACCCUCGAACUCUGUCUGAAGAUUGUAGUCUGAGUAAAAAUAUAAAUUAUUUAAAACUUUCAACAACGGAUCUCUUGGUUCCG
RNAcentral lists this unclassified non-coding RNA (236 nucleotides) under plant metagenome. Its description in RNAcentral is "partial contains small subunit ribosomal RNA, internal transcribed spacer 1, and 5.8S ribosomal RNA". The record is from RNAcentral.